AGAUGGCUGUGCAUGUGGUCUUGAAACCUGACUCUUUAUGGGCGAAAGUGAAACCUGACUCUUUUUUUUUUUACUAGUUUUUGUUCUAUCAUUGCAUCUCCAGAGUCUUUCAGAAUAUUUCGUCUAAAUCAUUACAAUUUUUUUUCAUAAUCUAUAAAAUUUGGAUUUAUAGCUGUACGUUGUCUAUUUUGUGUUAAUGCUUUUUGGUGGAUAGCUAUAUUCUUCCUUAAUUCCUGGGAUUUUCUUCAUUUACUUGCUGUUAUCACUAGAAUCCGAGGAUAAAGUAUGGGCUUGGAUGUCUCACAUCUAAUUCUAUGUAAUUCUCUUUUUCUUGGAGUUAACCUUUUCUUUUGUUGCUUUUUAUUGACCGAAAUUGGUCCAUUGUAUUGUUAUUGCUUGAAGGUCUUUCCUCUGCUCUUUUGGUGUGCUUUUGAGGUUUAAUUAUUUUGGGUGGGAAAAAUUGCGUUACAAGCUCAUGAUUAAUAGAUAACAAGAUUGUUCUCUUGUAUUUCCCUCCUUCCCACCAUUUGUGUUACUCGAUCUAUUGUUCUGCUUCUUUGUUUAGCUGACUGAGCUCUUUUUGCUUAUUUUUCACUGAAAUUGUGCCUCUCGUUAUUAUCUUGUUUAAAGCAUUACUGAAUGUUUUGAACUCUGAUUUGAUAACUCACUGGUGAUAUGGAACAUUGAAUGGAGAUUUGUAGGAAAUUUUUGGCCCAACACAUACUCGUAUGUUGACAGGGCUUUACACAUAUGGUGUCUUUUUAUCCUUAUGUUUGCACCAAUAAUGUGGCUUACAUGUUCUUCAUGUGAUCUAAGAACUAGAUCAGUUUCAUAUCAUCUCCAACAUGGCAAUCAUGAUUGUCAUGCAGAACAGCUUUACAAGCUGAUUCAUUACAUUCAAUGCUACUGUGCCUUUUCCUUGUCUUCUUUUUUUCAAGGAAAUUGCUUCUUAGUACUAUGACUUUAUCUAUAAUCAUAUGUUUACAUGUGUUCUCUUAUGUUUAUUGAUCACUUCAAUUGGACUCUAUCAUCUAGGUACCCAUCAUACUGUCGACCAAAUAUAUGGCCUUCCAUUUCUUUGCCUGAGCUUGAACAAGAUCCAAGAUUCUUCACGCUUAUUCUCUGAUUCAAAUUCUAGCAUCCAUCACUCAAGUUCUUGACCCAAAGAUUCAUCAACACCUAGCUUCUUUUUUUCAGUCAAAGUUUGUUCUGUUAUGACAGUAUGCGGUUUUCUUGUCAAAGUUUGUUCUACUUGAUGGAUGUUUCCUCCUUCAAAUGUUUAAUGAGGAUCUGCAAGCGGAGGAGCUCAGAUCGCUUUUCGACGAUAAUGUGUGCCUCAAAUGUCAUAUUCUUGUAGACCUGAUGUUGCUAGAAAAUCAACUUCCGUAUUUCAUUGUCCAGCAUCUCCUCGAAACACUGGGGAUGCCAGAGUGGGAUAGCUCCCGCCUUCUGAAUGCUGCCAUCGAUGUGUUCGAUGACUUUCUGCCAUCGUUCUGGAGAGGUCCACAGCCAGAGCUGCCCGCCGAAGGCUUCGAUGUGGAUCAUUUACUCCACUUGAUCCACCGAUGGAUCCGGCGAUUCCCAAAAUCAGAGGUGACCAACACAGCAAGCUACAGUAAACGAUCAAGGACUACUUAUUCUGCUUUAUCCCUAAUAAUCGACAAGACUGGGGAUUGGCUCUCCAAGGUGU
Non-coding RNA from Phoenix dactylifera (date palm), 1690 nucleotides. The record is from RefSeq and is a predicted model, not a curated record. NCBI's taxonomy places the organism in Eukaryota, Viridiplantae, Streptophyta, Magnoliopsida, Arecales, Arecaceae.